AUUGAACGCUGGCGGCAUGCUUUACACAUGCAAGUCGAACGGCAGCGCGGGGCAACCUGGCGGCGAGUGGCGAACGGGUGAGUAAUAUAUCGGAACGUACCCAAGAGUGGGGGAUAACGUAGCGAAAGUUACGCUAAUACCGCAUACGAUCUAAGGAUGAAAGUGGGGGAUCGCAAGACCUCAUGCUCCUGGAGCGGCCGAUAUCUGAUUAGCUAGUUGGUAGGGUAAAGGCCUACCAAGGCUACGAUCAGUAGCUGGUCUGAGAGGACGACCAGCCACACUGGAACUGAGACACGGUCCAGACUCCUACGGGAGGCAGCAGUGGGGAAUUUUGGACAAUGGGCGCAAGCCUGAUCCAGCAAUGCCGCGUGAGUGAAGAAGGCCUUCGGGUUGUAAAGCUCUUUUGUCAGGGAAGAAACGGCUCCAGCUAAUAUCUGGGGCUAAUGACGGUACCUGAAGAAUAAGCACCGGCUAACUACGUGCCAGCAGCCGCGGUAAUACGUAGGGUGCAAGCGUUAAUCGGAAUUACUGGGCGUAAAGCGUGCGCAGGCGGUUUUGUAAGUCUGUCGUGAAAGCCCCGGGCUCAACCUGGGAAUUGCGAUGGAGACUGCAAGGCUUGAAUCUGGCAGAGGGGGGUAGAAUUCCACGUGUAGCAGUGAAAUGCGUAGAGAUGUGGAGGAACACCGAUGGCGAAGGCAGCCCCCUGGGUCAAGAUUGACGCUCAUGCACGAAAGCGUGGGGAGCAAACAGGAUUAGAUACCCUGGUAGUCCACGCCCUAAACGAUGCCUACUAGUUAUCGGGUUUUAAUUAACUUGGUAACGCAGCUAACGCGUGAAGUAGACCGCCUGGGGAGUACGGUCGCAAGAUUAAAACUCAAAGGAAUUGACGGGGACCCGCACAAGCGGUGGAUGAUGUGGAUUAAUUCGAUGCAACGCGAAAAACCUUACCUACCCUUGACAUGUACGGAAGCCACGAGAGAUCGAGGUGUGCUCGAAAGAGAACCGUAACACAGGUGCUGCAUGGCUGUCGUCAGCUCGUGUCGUGAGAUGUUGGGUUAAGUCCCGCAACGAGCGCAACCCUUGUCAUUAGUUGCUACAUUUAGUUGAGCACUCUAAUGAGACUGCCGGUGACAAACCGGAGGAAGGUGGGGAUGACGUCAAGUCCUCAUGGCCCUUAUGGGUAGGGCUUCACACGUCAUACAAUGGUACAUACAGAGGGCCGCCAACCCGCGAGGGGGAGCUAAUCCCAGAAAGUGUAUCGUAGUCCGGAUCGCAGUCUGCAACUCGACUGCGUGAAGUUGGAAUCGCUAGUAAUCGCGGAUCAGCAUGUCGCGGUGAAUACGUUCCCGGGUCU
This 1354-nucleotide ribosomal RNA is filed under the name uncultured bacterium. RNAcentral describes it as "bacterial SSU rRNA". It matches the Rfam family "Bacterial small subunit ribosomal RNA", at positions 28 to 1381 of the family's 1533-position model. The record is from RNAcentral.